Long non-coding RNA from Daucus carota subsp. sativus, 1543 nucleotides. RefSeq lists it as uncharacterized. The record is from RefSeq and is a predicted model, not a curated record. The transcript is spliced from 2 exons. Lineage: Eukaryota; Viridiplantae; Streptophyta; Magnoliopsida; Apiales; Apiaceae.
CUUAUGUGUUAUUUGACGUCUUUUAUAACAUCUAUACAUCCAUAUAAAGGAGGUUCUUCAUAGGAUGAAGUGGCAUGUCUCAGAUCUCUCCAAUCAAAAUUUCUAAUUUUUCAGAUUUUUCAUUUUAUUAAUUACAGUACUUCCUCCGUCCUACAAUACAAGUUUCUUUUUGAAAAAUUACGAAUUUAAGAAAACAUUAAUUAGAUAAAAUUUUCUCACUUGUACCCCUAAUAAAUGCAUGAAUGUAGACUCUUAUUCAACCCUCAUUAAUUGUUAUACAACUUUCAAAAAGAGUAAUUUUGGAGUAAUGUCAAUAUAUUUGCAUUGAAAUUAAAAGUGGACAAAUAUUAUGGGACAAAAAUUUCUUCCAAAAAAGACUUGUAUUGUGGGACGAAGGGAGUAUCUUUUUUUAUAAAUAAAAAACAGAAUAAUGAAAGGCUAUAUACGCGUCUUUUUAGUUUUUACCGUCCCUUUCUUGUCAGUUUUGUGUGGCUCUUCGCUCCCGAUGCAAUGGCAGUUGAAACUUUAAAAUGAGACCUAAUAAUAAUGGGUCUAUUGUUGCUUUCCCGCGCGAAAUCAGUGGCACUUUUUCUAAUAGUGCAAAUGAAAGAGGAAGCUCAAGAUAACCUACCAUCAGAGGAUCUUAAGAGAGAGGCCCGACGUCCGGAUUUUGUCUUGGACAGAGGUCCUGUUAAUCAUUCUACACGAUGCGUUACUAUUCUCACACACAUAAUUAUCUUUUAAAGAUUUUGUCCCAGAGAUCAUUCUCUUUAGAAUUAUAAUCUGCAAAAAUAUUAAACUACUCAUUGUGUUACAUUCAAAAUUACUACAUUUUUAAAGCCCAGAAGGUGUUCGAUGAAAUGCCUCAACGAAGUAUAAUGACCUGGAACGCAAUGAUUGAUUGGUGGUAUUUUCAAAAUGGCUAUUUUGAUCAGGCUGUAGCCUGUGUGGUUGUAUAAUCAAAUGCCCCAAGAUACCUGGGAUAAGAUAAUCUAGAAAAUUACUUGGUUUGUGAUUGACAUUUUUUAUAUGAUGGAUAACUUGCAGGACAGAGGACCAAAGGUCAUGAAAAUCGUGAGGAAAUUGCAAUCACGAAAGAGACCAGUCUCACCAGAAUCAUGGUUCGAAAUGAGGGAAAUUGUUGAAGACAUUGUAUUCUGUGAUGGAUAGUUUUACGCCAUUGCUACUUGUGGAGCACUCUUUGUUUACCAUUCCAUGCACAUACUGGACAUGAAUGAAAGAUGGGAGGUCAGAUGUGUGGUAUCAAUUCACAUUCAGUGAUAGAUGUUCACUGGUUCUUGUAUCUGGUGGAAUCAAAGACCGGAGAUUUGUUGUCAAUGAAGAGGAUAUUCAAACAAAAUAGCCGCACCACCAAAUUUCUUUACGUUUUCAAGUUAAAGUACUGGAGUGACAACAUUUGUGACAGUACUUAUAUUAGGAUGAGAUACAAUAAAAUAUAAAUAUAAACAAAGAUGUAAUAAAAUUUAUAUCACUAGAAAGUAUAUUUUGCCUACUUUAAUAUAUAUUUUUCAGAUUUUAUAAA